Molecule: ribosomal RNA, 253 nt
Filed under: uncultured bacterium
Lineage: Bacteria
Description: partial 16S ribosomal RNA
Rfam family: Bacterial small subunit ribosomal RNA
Source: RNAcentral
UACGUAGGGUGCGAGCGUUGUCCGGAAUUAUUGGGCGUAAAGAGCUCGUAGGCGGUCUGUCACGUCGGCUGUGAAAACCCGAGACUCAACCUCGGGCCUGCAGUCGAUACGGGCAAACUAGAGUACUGCAGGGGAGACUGGAAUUCCUGGUGUAGCGGUGAAAUGCGCAGAUAUCAGGAGGAACACCGGUGGCGAAGGCGGGUCUCUGGGCAGUAACUGACGCUGAGGAGCGAAAGCGUGGGGAGCGAACAGG